Molecule: long non-coding RNA, 200 nt
Filed under: Elaeis guineensis (African oil palm)
Lineage: Eukaryota; Viridiplantae; Streptophyta; Magnoliopsida; Arecales; Arecaceae
Description: long non-coding RNA (EGUI_LNC054617)
Source: RNAcentral
AGGGGCCUACCCCCUCUUAUGUGUCAUGACAUGGAGGAGAGAGAGUGGGGUCCAUGCCCCAUCUCUUUUGGCUAGAGAUCCCUUUAUAGAGCGUCAAGAGUUGGCGCCCCAACUACCUGACAAAUAUUCCAUGAUGCCUCUUGUACAUACUUUAAGGAGCUGAUUAAUUACCAUUAUAUUUAGUUUUAUUUAUCAUAAAU